RNAcentral lists this long non-coding RNA (731 nucleotides) under Nicotiana tabacum (common tobacco). RNAcentral describes it as "long non-coding RNA (NTAB_LNC001205)". Lineage: Eukaryota; Viridiplantae; Streptophyta; Magnoliopsida; Solanales; Solanaceae. The record is from RNAcentral.
AGUUUAGGGUUUAAAACCCUAAUGCUGAUUGCAUGGAAAAGCUCAGUUUAGGGUUUAAAACCUUAAUGCUGGCUAAAUGGAAAAAGUUCAGUUUAGGAUUUAAAACCCUAAUGCUGAUUGCAUGGAAAAGCUCAGUUUAGGGUUUAAAACCCUAAUGCUGGCUAAAUGAAAAAAGAUCAGUUUAGGGUUUAAAACCCUAAUGCUGACUAAAAGGAAAAAUUCAGUUUAGGGUUUUAAACCCUAAUGCUGACUGCAUGGAAAAGCUCAGUUUAGGGUUUAAAACCCUAAUGCUGGCUGAAUGGAAAAAGUUCAGUUCAGGGUUUGAAACCCUAAUGCUGACUAAAGGAAAAAUUCAGUUUAGGGUUUAAAACCCUAAUGCUGAUUGCAUGGAAAAGCUCAGUUUAUGGUUUAAAACCCUAAUGCUGGCUGAAUGGGAAAAAGUUCAGUUUAGGGUUUAAAACCCUAAUGCUGACUAAAGGAAAAAUUCAGUUUAGGGUUUACAACCCUAAUGCUGAUUGCAUGGAAAAGCUCAGUUUAGGGUUUAAAUCCCUAAUGCUGGCUGAAAGGAAAAAUCAGUUUAGAGUUUAAAACCCUAAUGCUGACUAAAAGGAAAAUUCAGUUUAGGGUUUAAAACCCUAAUGCUGAUGGCUGGGGACAAAAUUCGAGAACAACCACUGACUUCUUUUUUUGAAUUUUCUUACUUUAGUAAAAGAAAUAAAAGGGAGUUUCGU